UUAUUGAUUUUCCAAAAAUAAAAUUGGAAUCAAAAGGGUAUAAUUCAGACGCCAACCUAAGCAUCUUUAUUUAUACUCUUUCAUUCAUUUUCUGUAACCCCUUGCUAUACUUUCUCUACUAAAAAAACCAUGUGUUGAUGCAUAUCUCUCCUCUGCUAAUUAAUAUUUUCAUCUUCUACAAAGAACAAGCUGGAUUAAUAAUUAAAGGUGGGAUUUAUUACUCGAUGGAAAGGAUUAAGCCUGCAGAAGGAUGUUUCCCUGGCGUGAUGAAAAUUGAAAGAGAAGAGAGGAAAGUACUGUGAACCAUUUCAGAUAAAUAUACCUGCCGUGAAUAACAGAUAUGAGGAACCCAGCAGAGCAGAUAGAUUCAAGAUCAGUCCGCGAUAUCUUAUGAGUCCAGCAAGCAUUUAUCUGCCCAUCAAAUCCACAAUUUGACUGCAUCCCGGAUGCUGAUAUGCCUUUGAUGUAUUCCUGCCACACCCAAAAAAAAGAUCCUACAGCCCUCUGCUCAGGAGUUUUUGCCUUCAAAAAGCGGACUGCAAUAGAUAGAGUUUGACGAUCGAGCUGCAGCAAGAAAGACCAUAUGAGCACGAGAACAAACACAAUAACGCUUUGUUUGACUCAAGUAUGUAAUGAGCAGCGGACAGAGGAAGCAUUGUGUUUUAAGGUACAACAUAAUUUAGCUCACAUCCAUUUAAUGCAAUUAGCAGACUCAUUAAUUUUACAGGAUCUUAUUCAACACAGUAAUUUAUUUUAACUAUGCCAACAUGUUGAAUAUUUCUUUAGUCUUCAGAUCAACUGCUUGACUAUUCUAUGAUGCCAUCCAGAAAAGUUGGUGGGACUAGGAACUAUAUUGGAUAGUCAACUGCUUGACUAUUCUAUGAUGCCAUCCAGAAAAGUUGGUGGGACUAGGAACUAUAUUGGAUAGUCAACUGCUUGACUAUUCUAUGAUGCCAUCCAGAAAAGUUGGUGGGACUAGGAACUAUAUUGGAUGGCUGUACCCCCUGCCAAACUACCAAAGCAGCAGGUUGACAUGCAGCAUUUCACUGGAUUAAGGGGUUGAGUAUCUCCUGAGCCCUUUGAGAGCAUGAAGUAGAGGUAGAGUAGGAUUACCUAAUCUACAAAUAUAUGCCAUAUUUCUGAUAUUUAUAUAUCUCAUGUGAAAAUAUGAGCAUGCAAGAUCCGCCUUUCCUCGAACGUGGGAUUGCUACUACAGUACUGUAGUGCUAAUUAAUUCAAUUGCAGGGGGGUAUCAUAUAUGCUACUGAUUGUUACCGUAAAAACCAGCACAGCAUUUCCUCCUUUCUCAAACACACUAGCAUCUCUGCCUCUCUCACACCCACACACACGCGCAUACACACACGAACACACACGAUUGGACAAGAUAAGAAUAUUCCACAAAAAGUGAAAUCUGUGAUUUUUCCUAUUGAGAUCAUACACUAGCAUCUCUGCCUCUCUCACACCCACACACACGAACACACACGAUUGGACAAGAUAAGAAUAUUCCACAAAAAGUGAAAUCUGUGAUUUUUCCUAUUGAGAUCAUACAAAAUGUCAAUGUUCCACUAUGCCACAUGCUCUUUUUUAUCAUACUGGUGUCUGGGGCAGCUUCGGCACACUUCGACUAUUCCACUGGGUACCUACUCCUCCCACCAGCAUAGAUACCAGGUAACUCUGCCCACCAAGCCUUGGGCAGAUGAAGAAAUUACCUAGUAUUUUUUGCCUCCCUGGGAUUUGAACCUAAAACCUCAUGGUUCUACUCCGGGUUCAUUAACCACUAGGCCACACCCUUGGGUGCCCUCUAUGCCACAUACUGAUGGAUACAUUCUUUAAGAUUUAUGUAUCACACCUUAUUUCUUAUCAUUAUGUAUAGUUUUUGGAUAAGUAUGUACAGGAGAGACCUUAUAAGCACCAAAAUAACUGUGUAUUGUGACAUAAGCAUCAUCCAGCAGUAAAUCAUGAGACAAUUGGUGACGCCAUCAUGCAUUUACAGUUAGUUUUGUAAAUGUUAGGAGCAAGUGUUAAGUAAGAAGUUUGAGUCUGUGCCUUACAAUUCGUUGGUUAAGAACUUAUUCACUCUGCACAGAAGUUGCAAAUUCUGAAUGCUGCAUCUGAGUGUUCAAGCCUACAUGUUGAUUUACCUAGUGCAAACGGGACUUCAGGAUAGUGCAAGUUUUAUAGAAUUUCCAUUUUCAAUUUGAUCAUGUUUCUUAUUUCAGGGAUACACAAGUAUUAUUCCGAGAAAAGAAUCAAACAAAGAUAAAAUUGCGUUAGGAGCUUCAAGUUCUUGUUUAAGCAAGCUUAGAGCAUCACUGCACCAGAAGUCCAACCAAAAAGUUAUCUUUUAGAGUACACACAAGCAACGUACAUGUGGUAGACAAAGGCAUCCACAUGUAUUCCCCCAGAGAGAAAAUUCUUUCUGUGGUUUGUUCAAGACCCACAUACCAGUGUUAUUAAAAGCCAGCACUUGGCCGCCUAAACCGACUAAGCUGUGCGAAGCGAGAGGUUAUCGCUUCCUGGGUCAAGUCAUGCGUUUCCAAGAAGUUUGCACGCCAAACAUUGACGCGCCAAGUGAUCCCAAUGAGAAGUAGCAGGCUUUUGGAUCUCAACUUUAGAGAGCUGGAUUAAUAUUGACAUUAUUGUAUAUUUGGAUGCUGAAAUGUUAUUUUAGUAGCAAUUCAAUUCUUAUAGUAAUAAAUUCAUACCAUAUGUUAAAAUUUUUAAAUUUUUCGUAAA
Nicotiana tabacum (common tobacco) is the source of this 2736-nucleotide non-coding RNA. The record is from RefSeq and is a predicted model, not a curated record. Lineage: Eukaryota; Viridiplantae; Streptophyta; Magnoliopsida; Solanales; Solanaceae.